AAAAAUCAAGAACAUUAUCAGGUGACACUAAAGAUGAUCGCUUCUCCAGGCUUAGUGACUAUGAUACUCUUUGUACUCGGGAGAGCCCAUGGAAACUCAGUGACCCAGAAGGAAGGUGAAGUGACCUUGUCAGAAGGGGCUUUCCUGACCAUAAACUGCACUUACACAGCUAAAGGAUACCCUGAACUUUCCUGGUAUGUCCAAUAUCCUGGAGAAAGUCUACAGCUCCUCUUCAGAGUCACAAAGUCUGGUGAAAAGGGAAGCCACAGAGGUUUUGAAGCCACAUACAAUAGAGAAACCACGUCCUUCCACUUGGAGAAAGCCACAGUGCACAAGUCAGACUCAGCUCGGUACUACUGUGUUCUGGGUGACACAGUGGCAGAAACCACAGCGGGAGCUGAGCACAAACUGAGCAGCAGCAGGGACCUGGCUGCUGGGUGUCUGCUCUGGAAUCCCUCUGGUCUUAGCACAGUCUGGGGUGUCAUCCUCUGUUUCUCUGGUGCUGUAGAAUCAUACAAACUUCAGAGCAGAAUUGGACAUCCCCAAACUCAAUUCUUCAUCAGGGAAACUGAAAACAGUGUGACACUGAUAGUUCCUCAUCUAGGACCAAA
This is a non-coding RNA of Castor canadensis (American beaver), 611 nucleotides long. NCBI's taxonomy places the organism in Eukaryota, Metazoa, Chordata, Mammalia, Rodentia, Castoridae. The record is from the annotation of a RefSeq genome assembly.